GAUGAACGCUAGCGGGAGGCCUAACACAUGCAAGCCGAGCGGUAUUGUUUCUUCGGCAAUGAGAGAGCGGCGUACGGGUGCGUAACACGUGUGCAACCUGCCUUUAUCUGGGGGAUAGCCUUUCGAAAGGAAGAUUAAUACUCCAUAAUAUAUUGAACGGCAUCGUUUAAUAUUGAAAGCUCCGGCGGAUAGAGAUGGGCACGCGCAAGAUUAGCUAGUUGGUGAGGUAACGGCUCACCAAGGCGAUGAUCUUUAGGGGGCCUGAGAGGGUGAUCCCCCACACUGGUACUGAGACACGGACCAGACUCCUACGGGAGGCAGCAGUGAGGAAUAUUGGUCAAUGGGUGCAAGCCUGAACCAGCCAUCCCGCGUGAAGGACGACUGCCCUAUGGGUUGUAAACUUCUUUUGUAUAGGGAUAAACCUACCCUCGAGAGGGUAGCUGAAGGUACUAUACGAAUAAGCACCGGCUAACUCCGUG
Molecule: ribosomal RNA, 479 nt
Filed under: uncultured bacterium
Lineage: Bacteria
Description: partial 16S ribosomal RNA
Rfam family: Bacterial small subunit ribosomal RNA
Source: RNAcentral